Molecule: ribosomal RNA, 927 nt
Filed under: Triticum aestivum (bread wheat)
Lineage: Eukaryota; Viridiplantae; Streptophyta; Magnoliopsida; Poales; Poaceae
Description: partial small subunit ribosomal RNA
Source: RNAcentral
GGACAGAAAUGUUUAACACCACAGAAUUAUAUAUAUCACACAGGUAUUACAAACUGAAAAUUACUACGGCAACUACAACACACAGGGGAUAUAUAUAGCUAAUUAUUGAGCAUACAAACUGAGUGAUACAUGCCACAAUCCAGUUCACACAUCCACAAAUAAAGCAUAAGUCUGAAACUAAACAAGUAGGUUACUAACACUUAACAAAUCUGAAUGUUACACAUCAUAUAUGUCUCAAGUUAUUUCAGAGAGAGAGAUAGCAGUAGGUAGGUUAAGGGAAGUGUAGCAGGGGAAGUAGAGAGAGAUAGCAGCAGGAGGUUGAGGGCCGCGGCAGCAGCAGCAAGAGGAGAAGCAAAAAGGGGCGCUGGAGAUAGAGCAGCAGGAGGAGGCGCUGGAGAUGAGCAGCAUUAGCAUGGGGAUAAAGAGCAGCAGCAGUGUGGAGGGUUGAGAGAGCAGCGGGGCAAGGGGAUCAGCAGCAGGUUCAGCGAAGCAGAGGCAAGUACUAGAGAUUAAGAAGAGCAGCAGGGCCGUGGGGGACGAAGGGAGAUAGCAAGGGGGAUGGAGAGUAGUAGCAGUAGCAAAGAGGAAGAAUUGAGUGGAGAAGAGGAGAGUAGAGAGCAGAGGGUUGUCGCACGGAGCACCAGACACUGCCUCGCCCUCGUCUGGUCAGGCACGCCGGUGUAGGGUGGAGGUGCGGUGGAGGCGCUGGUGGUGCUGAUGGUGGGAGAGGGAUUUGAUUGGUGGUCCUGGUGAGGUGCGGCGGCGAAGUGGAGCUGGUGGCGCUAGCGGCAGGAGGUGAUGGUGGCACUGGGUGUUGGUGCUGGUGGGUGGAUGGGCUGCGGAGGCGCACCACCACGCCGGCCGGGCCGUGGAGGCGGCCGGAGGUGGAGAAGGAGUGGUGAGGGGGGAGAGAGAUGGAGAUGUGGC